UACGGAGGAUCCAAGCGUUAUCCGGAUUUAUUGGGUUUAAAGGGUGCGUAGGCGGAAUAGUAAGUCAGUGGUGAAAGCCCGCAGCUCAACUGCGGAAUUGCCAUUGAUACUGCUAAUCUUGAAUGUAGAUGAAGUGGGCGGAAUGUGUCAUGUAGCGGUGAAAUGCUUAGAUAUGACACAGAACACCGAUUGCGAAGGCAGCUCACUAAACUAAUAUUGACGCUGAGGCACGAAAGCAUGGGGAGCAAAC
Molecule: ribosomal RNA, 250 nt
Filed under: uncultured bacterium
Lineage: Bacteria
Description: partial 16S ribosomal RNA
Rfam family: Bacterial small subunit ribosomal RNA
Source: RNAcentral